AUGGACCCGACUGAGAUUUUGAAUGUCAAAUUUCAUAUAGGGGGGCAAUUUGUUCAUAUUGGUCCUUUUCUAGACUAUGUUGGGGGAGAUGUGGCCUACUCUCAUAUUGAAAGGGACAAGCUUUCCUUGCCAAAGGUGAAUGGAUUUGUUGCAGAUCAUAUGGCAGUUAAGGAAAGCAUGAAAUUUUUCUUUCUUAUGCCUGGCAGAGAGUUGGUUAAUGGGCUCAUGUUUCUGUAUGAUGAUGCUGGGUGCAUGAGAAUGUCAGAUCAUACAACUGAUGGAGGAGUUGCAGAUAUUUAUGUGGAGUACAAUGGGGAAGAGGAUGAAGAAUUAGAGGAGGGCAGUGCAAGUGGGUCUGAUUUUGAUGAUGAAAUUAAGGAUCACAUGGAGAGUGGAAGUGAAGAAGAUAUGCCUAUUAUCAUGAGUGUUGAAUAA
This 435-nucleotide ribosomal RNA is filed under the name Triticum aestivum (bread wheat). RNAcentral's name for it is "partial small subunit ribosomal RNA". The record is from RNAcentral. Lineage: Eukaryota; Viridiplantae; Streptophyta; Magnoliopsida; Poales; Poaceae.